Molecule: long non-coding RNA, 212 nt
Filed under: Hordeum vulgare
Lineage: Eukaryota; Viridiplantae; Streptophyta; Magnoliopsida; Poales; Poaceae
Description: long non-coding RNA (HVUL_LNC016722)
Source: RNAcentral
GCCCUCUCUCUCUCGUGGGAUUUUUUCUCCCUUUUCUCUAUGGCUAAAAAAAUUUGACGCCCCGCGCUACAGACUUGAAAUUUUCCUUCGCGCGCCAUCACGCGCGCUCUCUCAGUUUUGGUCUUUUUUUAAUGUACGUGUAAUGUUGAUCACAUCCGACUGACAAGUGGAUCAAACCAAAAGACAUGCACGACACAACAGCAAGAUUCAUC